AGUGAACGCUGGCGGUAGGCCUAACACAUGCAAGUCGAACGGCAGCACAGUAAGAGCUUGCUCUUACGGGUGGCGAGUGGCGGACGGGUGAGGAAUACAUCGGAAUCUACUUUUUCGUGGGGGAUAACGUAGGGAAACUUACGCUAAUACCGCAUACGACCUACGGGUGAAAGCAGGGGAUCUUCGGACCUUGCGCGAUUGAAUGAGCCGAUGUCGGAUUAGCUAGUUGGCGGGGUAAAGGCCCACCAAGGCGACGAUCCGUAGCUGAUCUGAGAGGAUGAUCAGCCACACUGGAACUGAGACACGGUCCAGACUCCUACGGGAGGCAGCAGUAGGGAAUAUUGGGCAAUGGGCGAAAGCCUGAUCCAGCAAUACCGCGUGAGUGAAGAAGGCCUUCGGGUUGUAAAGCCCUUUUGUUGGGAAAGAAAAGCAGCAUGUGAAUACCCCGCUGUUCUGACGGUACCCAAAGAAUAAGCACCGGCUAACUUCGUG
This 492-nucleotide ribosomal RNA is filed under the name uncultured bacterium. RNAcentral's name for it is "partial 16S ribosomal RNA". It matches the Rfam family "Bacterial small subunit ribosomal RNA", at positions 29 to 507 of the family's 1533-position model. The record is from RNAcentral.